UGGAAACAGCGGUUAGGAGCUUACACCCACCCGUGUUUACAUACUAUUGUUGCUUUGGCGGGCCGUGGCCUCCACUGCGGGCUCUGCUCGUGUGUGCCCGCCAGAGGACCAAACUCUGAAUGUUAGUGAUGUCUGAGUACUAUCUAAUAGUUAAAACUUUCAACAACGGAUCUCUUGGUUCUGGCAUCGAUGAAGAACGCAGCGAAAUGCGAUAAGUAAUGUGAAUUGCAGAAUUCAGUGAAUCAUCGAAUCUUUGAACGCACAUUGCGCCCUGUGGUAUUCCGCAGGGCAUGCCUGUUCGAGCGUCAUUUAACCACUCACGCCUAGCGUGGUAUUGGGGCGCGCGGUCUCGCGGCCCUCAAAAUUAGUAGCGGCGCCGGUGGGCUCUAAGCGUAGUACAUACUCCCGCUAUAGAGUUCCCCCGGUGGCUCGCCAGAACCCCCAAUUUUUUUACAGGUUGACCUCGGAUCAGGUAAGGGAUACCCGCUGAA
Molecule: ribosomal RNA, 491 nt
Filed under: uncultured Helotiales
Lineage: Eukaryota; Fungi; Ascomycota; Leotiomycetes; Helotiales
Description: eukaryotic LSU rRNA
Rfam family: 5.8S ribosomal RNA (bases 155-308)
Source: RNAcentral